Long non-coding RNA from Silurus meridionalis, 180 nucleotides. RefSeq lists it as uncharacterized. The transcript is spliced from 2 exons. The record is from RefSeq and is a predicted model, not a curated record. Lineage: Eukaryota; Metazoa; Chordata; Actinopteri; Siluriformes; Siluridae.
UUGGCCAAAAUGGCCUUAAGGAGAACGUGGCAGCAUCAGUUGAGGAUCUGGUGAAAAGUGUAAAUGAGUUCAGGGGGCAAAAAGAUUUGCCGUGGGAGCUGCAGCUCGCAGUGGUUUAUGCCACUCAUGAUCUGGCACCCAGCAACCCCAAAGUCGCUCUGAACGCUUUGGAGUCGUGGA